AGAUCAAUUCCCAGCAACCGCAU
This 23-nucleotide non-coding RNA is filed under the name Cricetulus griseus (Chinese hamster). The record is from RNAcentral. Lineage: Eukaryota; Metazoa; Chordata; Mammalia; Rodentia; Cricetidae.